Molecule: ribosomal RNA, 314 nt
Filed under: Psechrus sp. CG75
Lineage: Eukaryota; Metazoa; Arthropoda; Arachnida; Araneae; Psechridae
Description: partial 12S ribosomal RNA
Source: RNAcentral
AGGUAAUAUAAAAUUUAUAAAACCUAUUUAAUUUGGCGGCAUAACAUCUAAUUAGAGGAAUUUGUCUAAUAAUUGAUAAUCCACAAUAAAUUUUACUUUUUUAAACAACUUAUAUACCGCCAUCUAAAGAAUUAAUUUUAUAAAUAUUAUUCAUAAUAAUUAUUAAAAAGUUAGGUCAAGGUGUAGUUAAUAUAAAAGUUUAGAUGAAUUACAUUAAAAUAUAUUUAAGGAAUAUUUAAUUAAAUUUUUUUAUGAAAAGGGAUUUAAAAGUAAAUAUUUAAUAAUAAUAAUAGUUGAAUUAGAUAGAAAUGUGU